This 624-nucleotide ribosomal RNA is filed under the name Triticum aestivum (bread wheat). RNAcentral describes it as "partial small subunit ribosomal RNA". Lineage: Eukaryota; Viridiplantae; Streptophyta; Magnoliopsida; Poales; Poaceae. The record is from RNAcentral.
AUGAAAUUGCAACGAAAUCUCACCUUUCAAAGAGGCAGUGUUGUCGAGGGAAAGGAUGUUGAGGAGGCAGAGCUGCUCGCGGGAGAGGAGGGUCGACGGUCUGCUGCUUCAGGCGCGUGUGAAGGAGGUGGACCCGCGGCUUGGUGCUCAGCGAAGCUUGCAGGGAGGCCUGCUCGGGGAGGAAACGCGCGAGUAGGAUGGUGGCGAGGAAGGCGUUCCAUGGAGGAUGGUAGCCGCUGGUGGAGUAGUUCGGCGAUGACUGUGGUGCUCGGCGGUGUCACUCUGGAGUGGGGCGACGCGGCAGUGAUUGGCAGCAUUGGGGUGGUUGUUGGGUGGCGGAGGGGGCGAGGGGCUGCCGUGAUGGGGGGCGAUGACGGCAGUGAUUUGGUUGGAGGGUGGUCGUGGGCGAUGGGCUGGUUGGGGGCGGCGGCGGCUUGUAGUCCGGUGGAUUUGUGGGCGGCAGAGGAGCUGCGGUGGUGGGGAGCUACACCGGCAGUGGUCUAUUCGAGUCGAAGGUGGCUACUCGUCGGCGAUGGGAAGGUCUGGGGGCGACAAGGGCGGGAGUGGCAAGGUUUGGGAGCGGCGGUGGAUCUGGUGGAGGACACGGUUGGGGAUUGGGCGUGA